Non-coding RNA from Elaeis guineensis (African oil palm), 5135 nucleotides. The record is from RefSeq and is a predicted model, not a curated record. Lineage: Eukaryota; Viridiplantae; Streptophyta; Magnoliopsida; Arecales; Arecaceae.
AAGGAGACUUUUUCUACCUCCGAGAAUCAUCGCAAUCGCAGCUGGUUGCUCAUUACCAUAAUGUCACCCGACGUCGAGCCCAACAAAAUUAGAGACACGUGACAACAGAUUGGGGACACGAGUGAGCUGGUUGGCGGUCACCAGAAACCUUUCUGAGUACUGUUCCCGGUGCCCGGGGAUAUCCCAAGGCCGUAGGUUGAGGACUGGAAGUAGGUUUAAACUACGAGUGAAACGUCCUGGGGUUCGUCCUCGGCAUAAUUUUUUUUGAAGUCACUUUAGGUCUGGGAAGAAUUUGUUCCUCUACCAUUCCCCUCGUUUUUUCGCGCCUUUCUAUUAUUCCAGGUCGUCCUCCCGCUCCCGUGGAGGUCAUGAUCGCUCGACGAUGGAGGACUUUGCGCCCAUUCUUCGCAAGAUAUCUUCUUUCGAGGACAUGCUCGACCAAGUAAAUCACCUCUCUCUCUCUCUCACCCCUCCAUCCCCCAAGAAAGAAAUUCCCAAAUUCCUCCGAAAUGUCGUAUAUCAGUUGCACCGGAAAAGAGAGCUGAGUUAGGGCUACGGUAAUUUUUCUAUAAUCAUGCAUCGGCCAGCAAAACAACUGGGAGCUUGCCCCGGUUAUUUCUUGAAACCUUGUUGGACGAUUUUAGUAUUUUUGUUCUACUCCUGAAAUUCUUAAUCAGUGCUGGGAUGUGAGAGAAAUAAAGAAUUCCUAGCCAUUGUCAAUGAACGCAGUUUUUAUGGCCACAAAUUGUUCGAUCUGCUCACGUCUUUAUAUUUCAUUGGUGUUUUAGUAAAUGACACAUAUUACAGCUGGAGUUUGUACAAGUAGUUCGUGAUGGACAAGUUUUGGCCAAUUGCUUUCAGGAUACAACAAUCUAAGUCAGGUGAAAGAUUGAGUAUAUUAUCAGGGCUUAACAAAUCAAGAAACUAGGGUUGGAUCUACAAGUUUAGAUAGUUUUGUCAUUUGCUAUGGUAUAACGAUAUAAGAGUGUGCUGGCAUAAUGGCUCCGCCUGCUUGCACUAGUAAAGAAGAGCAAACCACUUGGGAGUAAUUCCUUCAGUGGCAGAAGCUUUAUGAGAUGGAUCGUGAUCGGGUCUGGUUUGGGCUGUGUUUGGAUCAGGUCAACAACUUUUACUAGCUAGCAUGAGCUUGUCUUGGACCUGACCUGACCUGUCAAUAGGUUGAACUCUGGUAUCCCACUUGACAGGACUAAUCAACAUUGCCCAAACGAGCUUGCACAGGUAUAUCCCUUUUGAAAAUUUCCCUGACCGUUAAAUGCGUAUUAUAGGCAGAGCUUACAUUCUUUUAUUAUUUUUGAUCUUGGCAUGCAUAUGGUUAGAUGCUGAUUGGGUAAGCUUCGAUUGGCAAGGAGUCUGCAAUUGGUUGUUGUAUUUUGUUGCAGAAUUUUGGUCAGUUGGAAAAGUGAAAAAGUUUAGCAGCUUCUAUUUGCAAAGAGGUAGAAUAUAAAUCUGUGGUAAAUGCAGUAAGAAAGUUAUUUUUGCUUGAUUUGCUUCCCGUUUUGGCCCCUUCAAGCCCGUCUAAGGCCUAUCAGAAGUCCGUGGUUGAUGUUCAGAUACCUUUUUCAAUCAACUACCAUUCAUAAUAUCAUAUAUGGAUGUAUGGUCACCUUCAUUCUAGGCAUACCUGAAUAACAUCAGCGAUGGUUCAUCUGUACACUGCAUGUUCUAGAUAAGUUUUUGAGGAAAUAUAUACUAGACAUUUUAAGCAUACAUGUAUUACUAGCAAAACAAGAGAUAGAAAUUUGCAGUUACUCUUAUCAUCUAUCACAGAGGAUUACUUCUCCAUAUAUGGGAGCAAUAUAAACUUGAUUCUGUCACCAACAUGGUAAGAACUCCACAAUAAAAUAAUAUAGAGAAUGAGUAUCUCCUGCACAUACAACACACCCGGGCAUGCAAAAUUAAGGAAUCCAAAGGAGAAAGUAGGAAGACAAGUAUCCAGUGAGUCUUCAUGUUUAGGUUAUUCAUGACCUAGUGCCAACCCUUUCUGAGGUUAAUUCCUUUUGUUGAUCAUUCAACAUGAAAAAUAAAUGUUGAAGCUAGCCUCCUUCUAGAUGAUUGGAAGAAUACACUGAAGCCAUCCUAGACUAUUCCCCCUGUGGAAUCCAUAUGAUUGCAAUGAUUAACUUCUUUUGUAGCUUUGUAUACUAUUUUAGGUGCAGGACUAUAUCAUUAUCCCACGGUUUCUCUUGAAGCUUAUCACCAGAUCAUCAUCGCACACUAUCCUUGUGCAUGUGUUCUUUGUUAACUUACCAUUGCUUAUUUGUACUGAAAAUUCUCUAGUUUCCUCAGUUUUUGAGAAUAGUAUAGAGUUUCAUGUUUGGGUAUUGAAAUGAAGUUCUUCUCUAUGGUUGAGAAAACAUCUGAGGUUUUUUGCACAUUACACUAGCAUAUUGACGUAUGGGUUAGUAUGGUCCCUUUGGAGUGUCACAGGAAUGCAAUGUGCCCUGCUUAUAAUAUUUUAACUUGAUAAGCAACAUAAGCACAAAAGGAAAGUGACUCUGUCAAACUUACCAUCUUAUUGUGUUGAUCUGUUUGUCUGCAUCUCGACAAUGAUGCAACUUGUUGGCUUCUUCUUUAGGUGCUGUACCUAUAGACAAUUUCUUUUUCUCAUUGACAACUGUGUGACUCAUCAUGAGCUUGAAGAAGAUGGGAGAGGAAACUGAUGAUUAUUGGGUACACACACACAUGCCAUUUUAUAGCAUUGAUGCAUUUUUUCACAUACUGUGCUGAUGCUCACCAUGGUUGAUACUUGAUAGCACACACUAUUGCACUAUUCCAGGUUUUUUCUAACCCAUUUCAGAUAUGCACCAAAACAUACUGAUGUACUUCGGAUUUUGGUGCAAUUAAUUCCUUACAUUUACUCACAUAUUUAAAACUAUAUUCACAGUGGCAUCUAAAAUAUGCAUUAGACUCUCUGGAACAUAGCCAUCAGUAUCUUAAAUCUUAAUUUUUUUAUUUCUUUUAGUAAUUGAUGAAUGACUGACUUCCUAAUAUGUCUGCCAUCACAAAACAAAAUUGCUGCUGAACAUCUCUAUAUUUUUUUAUGCAGUAUUCAAAAUCGUGCAUUCUUUUCCUGAUUUCUUAUAAACCUAAUGACGUAGGCUUGUUUGGAAAUUGGCAAUUGAAUAAUAUGAUUGUUUUGAAUAAGGAAAAAUUCAUUGUUCUAUGUGAUCAAUUUCAAAGGGGAAAAUGAGGAAUUAUGACUACUGUCAUUGGAGAAAGAAGCCAUUGAACAUGAAAAACAUAUUCUAAUGUGAAGAUCACUGCUUUACAAAACUCUAGAAAAGAGUUUAUUGAAAAGAUUUUGGAAGAAUUCCAUAAUUCCAUUUCUGGCAGCACAACUGUAUUGCUUUCUUUAUGUAAACAAACUGCUUUGAAAGUAAUUCAAUGUUAUCCUUUGAAUUGUAUCUGUUUUGUGAUUUACUUCUGUUGAUAGUGGUCUCUUUAUUCAUUUUGAAUUAUCUAUGCUAUCACUCCAUGCAAUGACUUUGUUGGCGACAUCAGAGAAAUAUCUUCUAUGUCGUUCCUUUGCACUUAUUUAUACUCUCUUUUUUUUUCUUUUUGACUUUUAGCUUUCUAAAUUUGAACUUCAAAAUUCUUAAUUCCUUCACACAAUAGAUUGUUAUUCAACACAACUAAAUUUUUUAGUUAAUGAAACAUCAUUCAUGCUAUCACAUCAAUAAAAUCAUCAUUAUCGUGUCACCAGGGCACUUCUCACAUCAAAACUGGCUUAGUUGCAGAGCGAAACUCCAUGCGAAAAAUGCUCUGUGGGGGAAUUCAGCAGAUUUUAUGACCAGCUGUCAGCCUGGUGUCUUCCUCUUAAGAUCAAUACCGGGCUAAAGCAACCUUAACCAGGUGAGGGUGCUGCCACGAAACCAAGAAGGGCAUUUAUUAUGGUGGGUACAGAUACCUAGCCUGUUGGUCAUAAUUUGGUUCCUGCAACUAGGGAGCAUCCCCUUGAAAUUUCUUGCAUUCUUGGAAAUAGUCUGAAUGAAGAGGGAAGGUGACAAGUUUGAAACAGAUUCCCUUGAAGAAACACAAGAAAUUCAGGAAAGAAGAAGAUUUAAACUUUCGUACCUUCUAAUAAAAGAAUCUUCUCAUCUUUAAUUUGAUGUUAUUUCAGCCUACAAGUGUAAGCUGCUUGAGGGUUCCAUGGAUCCGUUCUAUAUUCAGGAUUCCUUUGAUAUAUACACUUGGCCUCACAUCAAUCUUGAUGCUAAUAAUGGUGCUCAGAUGUUCAGUUGAUGGUGCAAUUGGAUCAUGCUUUUUGUAUGAACUCUCAUCUAAUCCAUUAAACAAGGAGUUCUUUCUUUUCUAUUUAUGAUGGGGCAAGCUCAAUCUGCAUGUUUGAGACAUAUGGAUCAACCUAGGAUGGAAUCAUCUGGACAGAUAGUUAGCUGCAUGCGAGUGAUCGAUAUCUUGCUAAAAGGGCUUCUAAUUUAAUUUUCUUCAUGAUAAAGAGACUUAGCUAUUGAAGAAAAUAUGGGACAGUUCCAGAACUGACAGACUAUGGUCCGAAGCCUUGAGCUCUCUGCAUAAUUAAAGUAACAGAAACUAUAAAGUUACAACAAAUACUUUGCAUAUUUAACUCCAAAUGAUGGACAUAUAUAUAUAUGUUAUAUGUAUGUGUGUAUGUAUGUAUGUGUUAACAGAAAACAAUCAACCUGACCUAACCUGCAUGAAUUGCAGCUGUUAGAAGGACUUGCACUGUAAAAUAACAUAUUCAUGUGUUUGCAGAUUCUUCAUCAAGUCAGCAUGCUGGUCCGUUAAGUGUCAUGUCGGCAUACAUUGUCUAAAACGUUGUGCUUCAUGGUUUGUUAGCACAGGUGACUGGUAUAUUUUGUAAUACCUAAUGAAAGAAGGUGUUGUUGUAAUUUAAGAAUGCCAAAGAUCAUAGGUUGUGUAAUAAAGCACAUCAACUGAAGGAGGUCAUUAUGCUUCAUCUAAGUUGACUCUUCUUCGGGUGCUGCUCAGAACAAAAUUGCUCUCUUGCAACUGGUGUGGGAAUCUUCAUUGAUGUAAGCAUGAUAAGACAAUAAUGUCAGCAGGAGCAUAUUUUAGCAGUGGAUGUCAACUUUCUAUAUUUGUCUAUAUUUCUGCAAAAUUCUGUCAUUUUA